Long non-coding RNA from Equus asinus (donkey), 475 nucleotides. Lineage: Eukaryota; Metazoa; Chordata; Mammalia; Perissodactyla; Equidae. The record is from Ensembl.
CACGAGAAUGUGUGUGCUCUGUAUAAUUCCCGGCCCCUGCAGCAGUACCUCCACCCCUUUCUCUUCUAGUCAAGAAAGCCUAAGAGAAAGCAGCUGGACUGGAAUCAGAUGAUUGAUAUUUUCCUGGCUGCCAGCUCCUGCUUCAUCCUCAAUGGCCAGACUCAUGCCCUUACUGAGAAAAUCUACUAGAAGGAAAGAUCUCCAUGCACAGGCAAAGCACAUGUGGUAUUAGCAAGUUUGGCACCUUUAUGGAAGAGGCAUCAUCAGUUUCAUCAGAAUCAGGGCUUUGAAUCACGAUUUCAAUCACAAGAUUUUGUCGGGAAAUGGGAGCAGGCUUCCUAGAAACUCUGACCUUGCAGAGGCCUUCUGGAAGCACAUGAUGAAACCUCAGGCAGCUUGUUCUUUUGACAAGAGAAAAAGAAAGCCCAUUGUCAAAACAAUUUGCCAAGCUUGAACAUUUGUGAGCACGAGUGAG